CUACAUCGCUGGCGAGCCGCGGAGAACAGCUGGAGCUCCAGACAGCGUCCAUUCAUUCCAUCACAAAGCUCUCCGCAAGCAUUAGGUAAGGUUAUUUUGUGAUUUAUAGAUUCUUUCUCUUGACACGAUCGGAGACUUAUAUUUGAAAGUAAGGAGUCCAGAGGAAAAACUGCAAGCUCUCAGCCAGGCAAGAAAACUUUCAAGCUUUGACACGCUUUCACAAAGCUCUAGGUAAGGUUAUUUUGUGAUUUAUAUAUUCUUUGACACGAUCGGACACUUAUAUUUUGAAAGUAAGGAGUCCAGAGGAAAAACUGCAAGCUCUCAGCCAGGCAAGAAACCUUUCAAACUUUCAUUUAAGAGAAACGCUUUGAAAGAGCUAGCUUCGCAAUUCUAGCGAAUCUCACGACGAAUACAGUCGCCAGCGAUGAAUAGAGUUUAUCUCGCUAGCUCUCUCAGCCUGCUCUCGUCGCGACCAUGGCCACAACGAAGGGUUCGUGGACAGCGGGUAGAGGCAACGCUUACUUGCAGUAAUCGGCGGCCAACUUGGGCUUAGUCAUACAGGACGAGAUGAGCGAUGUGCGUGGUGGUGGUGAUAAGAAGUCCAAACUCGAUCAC
This 615-nucleotide long non-coding RNA is filed under the name Selaginella moellendorffii. RNAcentral's name for it is "long non-coding RNA (SMOE_LNC000908)". The record is from RNAcentral. Lineage: Eukaryota; Viridiplantae; Streptophyta; Lycopodiopsida; Selaginellales; Selaginellaceae.